This 265-nucleotide ribosomal RNA is filed under the name uncultured bacterium. Its description in RNAcentral is "partial 16S ribosomal RNA". It matches the Rfam family "Bacterial small subunit ribosomal RNA", at positions 57 to 305 of the family's 1533-position model. The record is from RNAcentral.
GCAAGUCGAGCGAGAAGUUUUAAAAGGAUUCUUCGGAUGAAUUUUAAAAUGGAAAGCGGCGGACGGGUGAGUAACGCGUAGGCAACCUGCCCCAUACAAAGGGAUAGCAUUUGGAAACGAAUAUUAAUACCUUAUAAUACCUGAGUAUCGCAUGAUACAAAGGUCAAAGAUUUAUCGGUAUGGGAUGGGCCUGCGUCUGAUUAGUUAGUUGGUGGGGUAAUGGCCUACCAAGACGAUGAUGCAUAGCCGACCUGAGAGGGUGAUC